Molecule: ribosomal RNA, 327 nt
Filed under: uncultured eukaryote
Lineage: Eukaryota
Description: partial 18S ribosomal RNA
Rfam family: Eukaryotic small subunit ribosomal RNA
Source: RNAcentral
CCCUUAGAUGUUCUGGGCCGCACGCGCGCUACACUGACGGAUUCAACGAGCUUACAACCUUGGCCGAAAGGUCUGGGUAAUCUCCAAAAUCCGUCGUGAUGGGGAUAGAUUAUUGCAAUUAUUAAUCUUCAACGAGGAAUGCCUAGUAAGCGCAAGUCAUCAGCUUGCGUUGAUUACGUCCCUGCCCUUUGUACACACCGCCCGUCGCUCCUACCGAUUGAAUGGUCCGGUGAAGCGUUUGGACUAUGGCUUUCUGAUGGUCCGCCGUUGGAUUACCGUGGGAAGUUCGUUAAACCUUAUCAUUUAGAGGAAGGAGAAGUCGUAACA